RNAcentral lists this long non-coding RNA (277 nucleotides) under Drosophila guanche. The record is from RNAcentral. Lineage: Eukaryota; Metazoa; Arthropoda; Insecta; Diptera; Drosophilidae.
GUUUGUAAUUUUUAUUGUUGUUUUUAAAUUAAGGUUUUUCUUUACGCUUUUAUGUCGUGUUGUUCUUCUUGCAACCAUUUUCAUUUUUCUCAAAUAAUGUUUGUUUUGGGGCAUUCUUGAUUUCAUUUUUCAUUUUCAUCUUUUGUUUGCAAUUAGUUUAGGUUUAGGGUUUUCUGUGUUUAUGUUUGUUAUUAUUAUUAUUAUUAAAUUUAAGUUUUCAUUUUUUUGUUUGUUUUUCUCUUUUGGAUUUGUUCUUUUUGUAAGCGAAACGUUGAAA